Ruditapes philippinarum (Manila clam) is the source of this 1081-nucleotide long non-coding RNA. RefSeq lists it as uncharacterized. NCBI's taxonomy places the organism in Eukaryota, Metazoa, Mollusca, Bivalvia, Venerida, Veneridae. The record is from RefSeq and is a predicted model, not a curated record. The transcript is spliced from 2 exons.
UUGUCAAGCUCUAAUAUUUGGACUUUAUUAUCUUGUCUUUUUUGAAGAAAUGUCAUACUUUAAUCAUUUUUGUGUUGGUGUUGUUUUUGUUGUUAUCAUUGUCAUUGUUAGUAUGCAAAAUUAAUACUUUAAUGUAGACGAUUUCUCAAACAGUGUUAGAGGUAUUAACAUGAACUUGGAGUUAUAACAAAUGAUACGCAGUUCUGUUUGCCAAUGGUCUUAUUUUGAUAUAUUUAUAUCUGCAUUAAUCGACCAUGAGUCAAUGACGCUACCUAAUUCUUUAUAACAUCUGUACUUUCUUGAAAAAAAAUCAUCUUAAAAUGUACACAAAUAUAGGAAUUCUUUAUUGAAUGCUCAUCUAAGGUUAUAUGGGCAUUCAACCAUUAACAUAUAGCCAUUAUAACAUGUCAAAACUGUUUGUAAAUUAAAUUUUAUAUACAUGUUUGUACAUGUACUCUUUGUAUUUCAUAAAUAUUUUUAUUUCUAGGUACGUUGAAGUAGGAAAGAUGGAAAACCCACCAGAAAAACUUUUGCCCACACAAUUCGUGCUACCUCAAGGUAUUGAAAUAAAGCCAUUGGGAGAAUACAGGAGUGAUAUAUACUGUGUGGAAGAGCCGUCAGUGUGUAAGAGAUCAUCAGAACUGUAUGUACAGUAUGUUAACUGCGGCAUGCACGGGGCAUCGGAACCUUCAGCUCAAAAUAAAGAAAUCUACAGAAACUAUAUAAGGAAACUGUAUCAGUAAUGAACAUGUAUUAAAAAAGGGCACAAAAUAUGUUGAAAAUAAAAAAUCAGGAAAAUGAAUGGGAAAGUCAUUUGUUAGGACCUAAAAUAAACACACAAACCACACAAACAUGAACAUUCUGUUUGUUUGGACCUACAGAAUAUAGGAUAUUUGUGACAUUUUGUUAAGAUUAAGUUCCCUAGCUUUUUUAAUGGAGUUACAUUAAAAAAAAAACAAAAAACAUGUCACUUCUGGAUGGAUUUUCUUAUAAUAAGACACAUGCCUCUUCUUUCUUUGAGUAGUCUGGGUUCCAGUUACUUCAUUUUGCAUGUGCUUUUUUUUUUGGGGGGGGGGGGGGG